CCCGUCUCUGCGCUCCGGGAGGCGGUCCCCUCGGCUGCGGGGCGUCGUGAGGUCCCCUCGGCUGCGGGGCGUCGUGAGGUCCCCUCGGCUGCGGGGCGUCGUGAGGUCCCCUCGGCUGCGGCGCGUCCUGAGGUCCCCUCGGCUGCGGGGCGUCGUGAGGUCCCCUCGGCUGCGGGCGUCCUGAGGUCCCCUCGGCUGCGGGGCGUCGUGAGGUCCCCUCGGCUGCGGGCGUCCUGAGGAACCGCCUACGCGGAGCGGACGGGGUGCCUCUCCGGGGGCCGCCUCGGCCCUCCCCAACCCCGUGUUCCCAUAAGCAGGG
Saimiri boliviensis boliviensis (Bolivian squirrel monkey) is the source of this 319-nucleotide non-coding RNA. The record is from RefSeq and is a predicted model, not a curated record. Lineage: Eukaryota; Metazoa; Chordata; Mammalia; Primates; Cebidae.